RNAcentral lists this ribosomal RNA (254 nucleotides) under uncultured bacterium. Its description in RNAcentral is "partial 16S ribosomal RNA". It matches the Rfam family "Bacterial small subunit ribosomal RNA", at positions 524 to 776 of the family's 1533-position model. The record is from RNAcentral.
UACGAAGGGGGCUAGCGUUGCUCGGAAUUACUGGGCGUAAAGCGCACGUAGGCGGCUUUCUAAGUCGGGGGUGAAAUCCUGGAGCUCAACUCCAGAACUGCCUUCGAUACUGGAGCUUGAGUGCGGCAGAGGAGACUGGAAAUUCCUGGUGUAGCAGUGAAAUGCGUAGAUAUCAGGAGGAAUACCGAUGGCGAAGGCAGGUCACUGGGCCGCGAACUGACGCUGAGGAGCGAAAGCAUGGGGGAGCGAACAGG